Molecule: unclassified non-coding RNA, 341 nt
Filed under: soil metagenome
Description: partial contains 5.8S ribosomal RNA, internal transcribed spacer 2, and large subunit ribosomal RNA
Rfam family: 5.8S ribosomal RNA (bases 1-120)
Source: RNAcentral
GAUGAAGAACGCAGCGAAAUGCGAUAAGUAAUGUGAAUUGCAGAAUUCAGUGAAUCAUCGAAUCUUUGAACGCACAUUGCGCCCGCUAGUAUUCUGGCGGGCAUGCCUGUCCGAGCGUCAUUUCAACCCUCAAGCCCCCGGGCUUGGUGUUGGGGAUCGGCGAGCCUCCGCGCCCGCCGUCCCCUAAAUCUAGUGGCGGUCUCGCUGUAGCUUCCUCUGCGUAGUAGCACACCUCGCACUGGGAAACAGCGCGGCCACGCCGUUAAACCCCCAACUUCUGAACGUUUGACCUCGGAUCAGGUAGGAAUACCCGCUGAACUUAAGCAUAUCAUAAGCGGAGA